AUCACUUGCUGUGGGGAAAGCUGGCUGCCGUGAUGUGAGAACACUCAUCAAGUCCUAUGGGGAGACCCACAUGGUGAGGAACUGAGGCCACCUGCCAAUGGCAGUGUGAGGGCAUCAUCUUGAAAGUGGACCCUCCAGCCCCAGGCAAGCCUUCACAUAAGACUGCAGCCCCAGCUGAUAUCUUGACUGCCACCUCAUGAAAGACCAUGAACCACAGCCAUCCAGCUAUGCUGCUCCAAGUUCCUGACUCACGGAAACUAGUUUGAUGGAAGCAAGAAACAAAAUCGACUCUUCAGUUUUGAAAUACACAGGAAGACUGGCUUCCGUCUUGUGGCACUCUCUUGUUUUCUUGUCUGCUGGCUGCAUCGAAACAACGAUUGUGUGUGAGCUACCCCAAAGAGAAUCACACGUGGUGAUGAACUGACAGAGGCCUCCAGCCAAUAGCCAAUGAGGAACUGAGGCCCUCAGUGCCACAGCCCAUGAGGAACCGAUCCUGCCCCCACCACUGAUUUCACUUAGAAGUGGAUCCUGCCCCGUUGGAACCUUCAGAUGAGCCCACAGCUGUGGCCGACACCUUGGUUGCAGUCUGUGAGAGGCCGUCAGCCAGAGGACCUGGCUCAGCCACGCCUGGAUUCCUGCCCCACUGAAACUGUUGGGUGUGGACGGAAGAACAAAGGUGCAGAAGGAGGCAGGAAAAGACACAGAUGUAAGCUGAGGCGGCCGUGUGAAAUACCACAGGAGUUCAGGAAAGCUCAAGACUUUUCUCUGAUACUUACUGUGGGAAUCUGGUCGAGCUCCUGGAGCGGAAGUCGGCAUUGAUGGAAAUGGAGCCAUUUGCCAAAAGCUAAUGGUGGUGAGAGGGAUGUCUGUGUGUUCUACCGUAUCAGCUGGGUGUCACAAAGGUGGUUCAAUAUCUGCAGCAUUAGAAUGAGGGACAGCCUCCAGCAAAAUCAUAAUGGAACACACCCAAGUACUCAAUGUUGGCCAUUGGGUUUCCUGAUGCAAAUUACGUUUUCCCUGAAGCCUUGGGCUGCCUUGCGCAUGAAUAAUUUUUGGAGAAACACCCACGCCCGUUAGCCCAUUGUUCGUAACUAUUGGAAGAAGAUUAACCAGAGCCUGGAAAUUGUAUAUCUGCGUAUGCCUCUGAAUCUGUCACAGGAAACCAAAGGAGAUAAGUGGCUUUUACUUUGGAUGAAGAGACAAAAACAUUUAACAAGGUUAAAAAAUGAAACCCAGUGAAAAAGAUUGGAACACAGUCAGAUAACCGGUGAGGUGACAGAUGGAAAAACAACAGAAUGCAUGCCCCUUUGAAGGCCUUGUAAUCUUUGGAUUUAGUGUGAAAAGUUUCAGAAAAUCAUAGACUUUUACUGUGUCACUGUCUGUAGACCCUGGAAAAAUAACAGUAAAUUCAUGUAUAUGUACAUCUCCUCACUGCUUACCCAGAGUUACAUAAAUCCUUCCCAAA
Long non-coding RNA from Neofelis nebulosa (Clouded leopard), 1465 nucleotides. RefSeq lists it as uncharacterized. Lineage: Eukaryota; Metazoa; Chordata; Mammalia; Carnivora; Felidae. The record is from RefSeq and is a predicted model, not a curated record. The transcript is spliced from 8 exons.